Molecule: ribosomal RNA, 486 nt
Filed under: uncultured bacterium
Lineage: Bacteria
Description: partial 16S ribosomal RNA
Rfam family: Bacterial small subunit ribosomal RNA
Source: RNAcentral
AUUGAACGCUGGCGGCAUGCCUUACACAUGCAAGUCGAACGGCAGCACGGGUCCUUCCCCCUGGUUGCGCGUGGCACGCGUGUGAGUAAUCUAUCGGACCAUCUCCUGGUGUGGGGUAUCGUCCGGCGACGGCCGCUUUUAUACCACAUGUGCUCUACGGAUGAGAGCGGGAUCCCUGCACCCCUCGCUCUCUAGUGUUCCCCGAUGGCGGAUUAGCUAGUUGGUGGGGUAAAGGCCUACCAAGGCGACGAUCAGUAGCUGGUCUGAGAGGAUGACCAGCCACACUGGAACUGAGACACGGUCCAGACUCCUACGGGAGGCAGCAGUGGGGAAUUUUGGACAAUGGGCGAAAGCCUGAUCCAGCAAUGCCGCGUGUGUGAAGAAGGUCUUCGGGUUGUAAAGCACUUUAGGUUGGGAAGAAAGGCUGGGAGCUAAUACGGUCGGGGGAUGACGGUACCGGAAGAAUAAGCACCGGCUAACUACGUG